GGACUGAAAAAGGGAACAGAGAAAAAAGGAAAUAAAAACAAACUCUCCCAUGAGGUAGAAGCUGCAGAUUGUCUCCUUCCUGACCCUGGACCUGCACUGAUCUUGAGAUGAGCCCAAAGAGGUUUGCCAGACAUUUUUCUAUUGCGUGUCUGGAUCCCAUCUUUCUUCAUAAAUGCCUUGCAGGCCUGGUUUUCACCACAUCAGGAUACAGGGCUGCUGGCUGAAUUCCGGUAUGAAACGGAGCGCUGGUGCACCGCAAUCUGUCAUACACAUGCACAUCCCUCUUCAGACAGAUGGACAGGGAGCCGAAUCCAUCACAGUACUCCUGCCAGGUUCGGUUAAAGUCAGUUUGUCCAUCAAACCGGCGCUGGAACACUGUCCAUUCCCCACCAGCUGAAACCAUGUCACACACGGCCUGGAAUGGACAAGUCAUAAAGAAAACACACAUAUAGGCCCAGAGUUGCCUCCAAAACUAUCUGAACUUUAAAAAAAUUCUGUCAUCAUUUACUUAU
Molecule: long non-coding RNA, 512 nt
Organism: Sinocyclocheilus anshuiensis
Lineage: Eukaryota; Metazoa; Chordata; Actinopteri; Cypriniformes; Cyprinidae
Exons: 4
Source: RefSeq, a predicted model, not a curated record